GAUGAACGCUGGCGGCGUGCUUAAUACAUGCAAGUCGAGCGAACGGACUAGAAGCUUGCUUUUCUUAUGUUAGCGGCGGACGGCUCAGUAACACGUUGAUCCCCUCCCUAUAAGACUGGGAUAACUUCGGGAAACCUGACCUAAUACCGGAUAAUAUUUCGAACCGCAUGGUUCAAAAGUUAUAGAUGUUCUUGCUGUCACUUAUAGUUGGAUCCUCGCUGCAUUAGCUAGUUGGUAAGGUAACGGAUUACCAAGGCAACGAUGCAUAGCCGACCUGAGAGGGUGAUAGGCCACACUGGAACGGAGACGCGGACAAGACGCCUACGGGAGGCAGCAGUAGGGAAUGUGAGGCAAUGGGCGAAAGCCUGACGGAGCGACGGCGCGUGAGAGGUAAAGGUGUUCGGAUCGGGAAAAUCUGUUAUUAGGGAAAAACAUAUGUGUAAGUAAAUGUACACAACGUGACGGUACCUAAUGAGGAAGCAACGGCUAACUACGUG
RNAcentral lists this ribosomal RNA (497 nucleotides) under uncultured bacterium. Its description in RNAcentral is "partial 16S ribosomal RNA". It matches the Rfam family "Bacterial small subunit ribosomal RNA", at positions 28 to 507 of the family's 1533-position model. The record is from RNAcentral.